This 439-nucleotide ribosomal RNA is filed under the name uncultured bacterium. RNAcentral's name for it is "bacterial SSU rRNA". It matches the Rfam family "Bacterial small subunit ribosomal RNA", at positions 338 to 795 of the family's 1533-position model. The record is from RNAcentral.
CCUACGGGUGGCACCAGUGGGGAAUCUUGCACAAUGGAGGGAACUCUGAUGCAGCGACGUCGCGUGAACGAUGAAGGCUUUCGAGUCGUAAAGUUCUGUCCUAUGGGACGAUAAUGACGGUACCAUAGGAGGAAGCCCCGGCUAACUACGUGCCAGCAGCCGCGGUAAUACGUAGGGGGCGAACGUUGUCCGGAAUUAUUGGGCGUAAAGGGUACGCAGGCGGCCAAAUAAGUCAGAUGUGAAAUCCCAAGGCUUAACCUUGGUAAGCAUUUGAAACUGUAUGGCUUGAGUUAAGGAGAGGAAAGUGGAAUUCCUGGUGUAGCGGUGAAAUGCGUAGAUAUCAGGAGGAAUACCAGUGGCGAAGGCGACUUUCUGGACUUAAACUGACGCUGAGGUACGAAAGCGUGGGGAGCAAACAGGAUUAGAUACCCUUGUAGUC